UACGUAGGGACCAAGCGUUGUUCGGAUUUACUGGGCGUAAAGGGCGCGUAGGCGGCAAUUCAAGUCAUCUGUGAAAUCUCCGGGCUUAACUCGGAAUGGUCAGGUGAUACUGCUUUGCUAGAGUGCAGAAGGGGCAAUCGGGAAUUCUUGGUGUAGCGGUGAAAUGCGUAGAUAUCAAGAGGAACACCUGAGGUGAAGACGGGUUGCUGGGCUGACACUGACGCUGAGGAGCGAAAGCGUGGGGAGCAAACAGG
RNAcentral lists this ribosomal RNA (254 nucleotides) under uncultured bacterium. RNAcentral's name for it is "partial 16S ribosomal RNA". It matches the Rfam family "Bacterial small subunit ribosomal RNA", at positions 524 to 776 of the family's 1533-position model. The record is from RNAcentral.